Molecule: transfer RNA, 69 nt
Filed under: Parapediasia teterrellus
Lineage: Eukaryota; Metazoa; Arthropoda; Insecta; Lepidoptera; Crambidae
Description: tRNA-Phe
Source: RNAcentral
ACUUAAAUAGCUUAUAUAAUAAGAGUAUAAUAUUGAAGAUAUUAAGGAAAUUAAAAAAAUUUUUGAGUA